RNAcentral lists this ribosomal RNA (497 nucleotides) under uncultured bacterium. Its description in RNAcentral is "partial 16S ribosomal RNA". It matches the Rfam family "Bacterial small subunit ribosomal RNA", at positions 28 to 507 of the family's 1533-position model. The record is from RNAcentral.
GAUGAACGCUGGCGGCGUGCCUAAUACAUGCAAGUCGAGCGAACGGACGAGAAGCUUGCUUCUCUGAUGUUAGCGGCGGACGGGUGAGUAACACGUGGAUAACCUACCUAUAAGACUGGGAUAACUUCGGGAAACCGUAGCUAAUACCGGAUAAUAUUUUGAACCGCAUGGUUCAAAAGUGAAAGACGGUCUUGCUGUCACUUAUAGAUGGAUCCGCGCUGCAUUAGCUAGUUGGUAAGGUAACGGCUUACCAAGGCGACGAUGCAUAGCCGACCUGAGAGGGUGAUCGGCCACACUGGAACUGAGACACGGUCAAGACUCCUACGGGAGGCAGCAGUAGGGAAUCUGCCGCAAUGGGCGAAAGCCUGACGGAGCAACGCCGCGUGAGUGAUGAAGGUCUUCGGAUCGUAAAACUCUGUUAUUAGGGAAGAACAUAUGUGUAAGUAACUGUGCACAUCUUGACGGUACCUAAUCAGAAAGCCACGGCUAACUACGUG